CUCCACAAACCCUAACCCUAGCUCCUAUUUCUUCUAAACCGAGCCCAGCCGCCUUUCCUCCCUCCUUUGUGUGCGCCGCGCACUUUCCAGCCAUCGGCGACAAGUCUCCGGCCAACCACCACCACCAUUUUCUCCCUCUCUCUUAUUUUCUCUACCAACACCACCACCCUUCUCUCCUUCUCUACCCGAAAGCAAGGCAGAGCUCACCCCUCACCCACGGUCCCCUCUCCGGUGUUAUCCU
Molecule: long non-coding RNA, 241 nt
Filed under: Ananas comosus (pineapple)
Lineage: Eukaryota; Viridiplantae; Streptophyta; Magnoliopsida; Poales; Bromeliaceae
Description: long non-coding RNA (ACOM_LNC038748)
Source: RNAcentral